CCUACGGGGGGCAGCAGUGGGGAAUAUUGCACAAUGGGGGAAACCCUGAUGCAGCAACGCCGCGUGAAGGAAGACGGUUUUCGGAUUGUAAACUUCUGUUCUUAGUGAAGAAUAAUGACGGUAGCUAAGGAGCAAGCCACGGCUAACUACGUGCCAGCAGCCGCGGUAAUACAUAGGUGGUAAGCGUUGUCCGGAAUUACUGGGGGUAAAGGGAGCGGAGGCGGGAUGCCAAGACAGCUGUGAAAACUACGGGCUUAACUUGUAGACUGCAGUUGAAACUGGUUUUCUUGAGUGAGGUAGAGGUUAGCGGAAUUCCAGGUGUAGGAGUGAAAUCCGUAGAUAUCUGGAGGAACAUCAGUGGCGAAGGCGACUAUCUGGCACAUAACUGACGCUGAGGAGCGAAAGCGUGGGUAGCAAACAGGAUUAGAUACCCUAGUAGUC
Molecule: ribosomal RNA, 441 nt
Filed under: uncultured bacterium
Lineage: Bacteria
Description: partial 16S ribosomal RNA
Rfam family: Bacterial small subunit ribosomal RNA
Source: RNAcentral